AGAUUUUUUUCCAUCGGUCCCAUUCCGAGAUUUGUACGUUCCGUCUAUUCUGAUUUUGUGACCUUUUUAUUGAAGUUCUCGAGUAUGUUUGUGUGUUAACUGAUAGAUACAUCGUCGGAUUAUUGUAAUGGUUGUCGUUGCUAUUGUUUCGUUAGAAUUGGGUAGUCUUCAUCGAGAAAUGGAGAUGAUGUUUGUGAGUUUAUAGGGUAAAUGGGUCAGGAUAGGGUGCUUUGCAAGUGUUUGAUGAAUGACCCAGUUCUCCAAUUUGCGAAUAGACGUGCAAUUUUGGACUUUUUUUAUGCUGUUGCGAAUAGCGGGGCGAGGCUCGAAUCGGCGUGAGUUCUUUCUUGGGUGUUCUUCCUUUUUUUUUCUGGGGGAAAGAAAGAAAAUGGAGAGGACAAAGCUAUCGUUGGAUAGAUGCUCAAGAACACUCAGACUUCACUUGCAGAAGGUAGUGCUUCAUGUGUUAAUUUUUUUGAAGCUUUCUUUGGAUAGAUGCUCAUUCUCUUUCUUGUCACUUCAAAACAAGAACGCAAUCGCCAGUUGACAAAGCCUGUAACUGCUGAAAAGAUGGAAACAAGAAAAGCAGAGCUUGAGACUAACCUUGCAACUAAUCUCAAGAGGUAGAAGCAAGAGUAUGAGGCUAUUAUAUCCUCAUCAGAGACUGAUUUGCAUGAAAAUGAAGCGGAAUCAAAGUGGCAGGAGCUAAAAGAUACUAAAUCAUUGGUCAUUGAUGCAACCCAGCGAUUAGAAGGAAUUAAUAGAAGUACAGAGGAAACAAAUAAGCAAAUCAAAAAGAUCAAAGAUGAGAUGGCAAAGUUGAAGGCUUUGGAGGACACCUAUGGGAAAACACUUCAGGAUGAAACUAAAGAACUUGAACAACUGUUUAGCCGGAGGAAUAC
Molecule: long non-coding RNA, 902 nt
Organism: Syzygium oleosum
Lineage: Eukaryota; Viridiplantae; Streptophyta; Magnoliopsida; Myrtales; Myrtaceae
Exons: 4
Source: RefSeq, a predicted model, not a curated record